RNAcentral lists this ribosomal RNA (484 nucleotides) under uncultured bacterium. RNAcentral describes it as "partial 16S ribosomal RNA". It matches the Rfam family "Bacterial small subunit ribosomal RNA", at positions 30 to 507 of the family's 1533-position model. The record is from RNAcentral.
AUUGAACGCUGGCGGCAGGCCUAACACAUGCAAGUCGAGCGGAUGAAGGGAGCUCGCUCCUGGAUUCAGCGGCGGACGGGUGAGUAAUGCCUAGGAAUCUGCCUGGUAGUGGGGGAUAACGUCCGGAAACGGGCGCUAAUACCGCAUACGUCCUGAGGGAGAAAGUGGGGGAUCUUCGGACCUCACGCUAUCAGAUGAGCCUAGGCCGGAUUAGCUAGUUGGUGGGGUAAAGGCCUACCAAGGCGACGACCCGUAACUGGUCUGAGAGGAUGAUCAGUCACACUGGAACUGAGACACGGUCCAGACUCCUACGGGAGGCAGCAGUGGGGAAUAUUGGACAAUGGGCGAAAGCCUGAUCCAGCCAUGCCGCGUGUGUGAAGAAGGUCUUCGGAUUGUAAAGCACUUUAAGUUGGGAGGAAGGGCAGUAAGUUAAUACCUUGCUGUUUUGACGUUACCAACAGAAUAAGCACCGGCUAACUUCGUG